AACUUUCUGCAAAAUAUGCACAAUAAGCUGUAAGAAAUAUCCUCCCUGGAAAAACACUGAUUCAAUUCAUCAUCUGGGGAAAAGAAGAGAAAAAACGGUGGACUUAAGAUUGCAGCUGCUGAAUGUAGUUACAUUCUUGUAAGAAUACACAGGGAUCUGAUUGCAUGUGGAAUGCUUACGGGUGAAAAAUGGCCGCGGCGAAUGGAAGGAAACAGUCGCAGGACAAGAGCUUAACUCGGCAACAGAUCGGAGCGGCGUGCUAACAGAGCGAGCUGCUGGGAUUGUUUAGUUUCACAUUAUGUAAACUGCAGAGGAGCCAACAAUCACACGCCAACUGUUCCCCCGAGUGCUGCCAUGUCAGACAAACACUUCACUCUGGUGAGCUGCUCGUACUCCUGCUAGCAAACUUCAUACUGCAGCCAUAAAUUCAGAGCGGGCAUGCUGUAGGUCUGUGAAGUGCCAUCAGCCGGACAUUAGAGCGUCGGCCUCCAUGCAGAGUCCAUUCAGGUUUGUUUAUGUGCUUUUUGAUCGGCUACAGGAGGCCCAACAAGCACAAACACAAGUCUGCAAAUUGGUAAAACAAGCUUUCUGUGCAUCUCUGAGAUAUAUUUACAUUUGUAAAGGUACAUCAGUGAAGUUAAAUGUGACGUCCAAGACCUAAAUAUUGAAUUAUAUCUGCUCAUAUUGGAAAAAAGCGUACAUUUCAUUCUAUAUUUCUGCCUUUUCUACCUUAAAUCUAAUUAUUUUAUACCAUGCAGGUUAUACUGGAAGCACAAGAAUGAGUGUAUGCAAUAAUAAUUACUUAAAUAAUAAUAAAAUUAUGAAGCAUUUGAGUGACAAAUAACACUCAAAGGAGAAUUGCAGUGAAUAAAGAGGCAAUGCUUAGAUCAAAAUCACAUGACAUCCUCCACUUUGUGCAUUUUUUCAGAGAUUUAAGGCAUAAACUUUCUGUAAAAUAAGCUUUCUGUGCAGCUUUAAGGUAUAUUUAGACUUGUAGAAGUACAUCAGUAAAGUUGAACGUGACAAAUCUGUGAAUACUGGAGCAGACAAGGUGCUGUUUUUACCAGCUUAAAUGUCAUAUUAGGUUGUUGCUGAAAGGACAGUGCACUCAGGAAUGACUCAAUACAAUAAUAAUUACUUAAAUGAGGAUGAAAUAAUGAAAUAUUUGGGGAACAAAUAACUCUAAAUUUAAUUAAAGGACAAUCGCAGUGAGUAAAGAGGCACUGCUUCAAUGAAAAUCUCAUGUGAAUUUACAUGAUCUCUCCACUUGGUGGAAUUUUUCAGAGCUUUACGACAUAAACUUUCUGCUAAAUUAGCUUCCUGUACAUCUUUGAGAUUUCUUUAGACCUGUAGUACUCCAUCAGUAAAGUUAAACGUGACAUUCACGGCCUAAAUAUUCAAUUAAUUCUGAUCGUAUUGAAAAAAAUGUACGUUUAAUUGAACUGAAAACUUAUGAGUAUGGAUUUUCUAACUGAAAUUUAAUAUUAGCCUUUACCACACAGGUUAUACUGGAAGCACAGUGCACGAAUAACUGAAUCAAUACAAUAAUAAUUACUUUAAUAAUGAUGGAAUAAUCAAGUUUUGUGCAACAAAUAUCUCAUAAUUCAACUAAAGGAGAAUUGCAGCAAUUAAAAUUCUAUGAAUUAACAUGACCUCUCUGUGGAGCUUUUCAUGCAUUUCUGAUAUUUUUUCUAUAUCUGUCAGUACUUUUAAGCAAACACGAUCCAGGAAUGUCUCAUUUACAGUUAGAUAAGAAUGUACUAAUGAAUUUUUAAAGCACACACCUCAUAAAUAUACAAACGAAACAUGAGAAAAACAGUGCUGCGACCCGUACGGAGUCAGUUAAUGUAAUAUUCUGUUUGUAGAUGUGCGGCCAUGCUGGUUCAUUUCAUGCCCCCGUGUUGAUGUGUGCUGCAGGUUUUCAGGUGUAAUUCUGACAUGUGAUGAAGAAAAAACAUAAAAAUCAGUGAGUCAGAGGAGAAGAAGCUGUUCUUCAAAGCUAAUAUCUACAACUUGUGCUCCUCGUUAUUCUUUUGCAAUCCAGGAAAAAGCAAAAACUCCAAGGAAUGAGUCAAUACAAUAAUAAUUACUUCAAUAAUAAAGGAAUAAUUCAACAUUUGGGCAACAAAUACCACUUAAUUCAAUUAAUGGAGAAUUGCAGAGGGAAUGCUUUAAUGAAAAUCACGACAUCCUCCACUUUGUGCAUUUUUUUCGCAGAUUUAUGGCAUUUUCUUCUGCAAAAUAAGCUUUCUGUGCGUCUUUGAGGUAUAUUUAGACUUGUAGAAGUACAUCAGUAAAGUUAAAUGUAACAUCCACGGCCUAAAUAUUGAAGUAAAUCUGCUAAAUAAUUGGAGUAGGCACUGCAAUGGUGCUGUUUUUAUUAGCUUCUGGUUAUAUUUAAAGCACAGUACACCAAGGAAUGAGUCAGUACAAUAAUAAGUACUUAAAUAAUGAUGAAAUAAUUAAGUGUUUGAGCAACAAAUAACUCAAUUCAACUAAAAAAAGAGGUCUAGUGAGUAAAGAGGCAAUGCUUUUAUCAAAAUCGCCUGUGAAUGAACAUGACAUCCUUCAUCUUGUGCAUUUUGUGAACGAUUUAUGGCACAAACUUUCUGCUAAAUAAGCUUCCUGUGUGUCUCUGAGAUAUAUUUAGACUUGUAGAGCUACAUCAGUAAAGCUAAACGUGACAUCCACGGCCUAAAUAUUAAAUUAAAUCUGCUCAUACUGGAAAAAUAAUUGGAGUAGACAGUGCAAAUGUGCUGCUUUUGCUAGCUGAAAUGUAAUAUCAGGUUAUGCUUAAACCACAGUGCUCCAAAGAAUGAGUCAGUACAUACAUGUGCUCUUCAUUAUUCAUUUGCAUUCCAGGAAAAAGCAAAAAAACGUUCUGCUCCGCGGCUGCGAUAAACCGUGUUAAUGGAUUAGCUGUCGAGAUACCUGCCGCUCCUUAAGUUAUGGCUGAAAUAUUCUUUCACGUAUUCUGUCAAACACAGGAUUAUAUGACACAAUAACGCAGACUCUGGUUAAAGUUUCCUGUGAUGGAUCUGCUUUGAGGGCCGUGCUAGCGGACCCCAUACAUGGAUGUAAUUAAACAAGGCCAAGUGAUAGCGGUAAUGGAUCAUCCAGCCGAGCCCGGGUCCCGGCUUCCCACCAACCAGAGUUACCGGAGACAAACGACUCGCAGCCAGCGUCGCUUUCAACUUGGCGUGGUGCGGAAUAUGUGGGAACAGUGGUGGCCCGGCCAAGACGGAUGGACAGUCAUAAUCCCCCCACUGGUGGAGAAUGUGCUUUAUUAGAAUACGAUACAGUGGAGGUGAAAUAUUUUUCUGGCGGUGCGAUUUAGUUCCCAGCUCAUUGCUCAGCACACACAAGUCAUUCCUGACAGUUUCUUUUUCCUCCGAGCAGCUUAGCCGUCUCCGAGCCGCUGCCUUCAAAGUUUGGUGAGUUGUCUGUCAAGGAGAAAUGUGUUAUUAUUAUUCCUGCAGAAACUACAAGUAGGACACAACAAUGAACCCUCAGAUGCUCCAGUGAUUGGACCCUACACUGGGUCAAAAAUAUAAGAAUCAAUGUGUUUUUGUUCCAUUAUUGUCAUUUUGGUUAAGAAUAGUCAUUUGUAUUAUUGUUUGUAUUCUAUUUUUGUUCACACAAGAAUUAUUUCAUGUUUGAAAUGUCUUUAUUUUUCACUUUAGAACAGAUUUUCCACAUUUUGAUAUUUGAAUAAGAAUAAUAUUAGAGAGAACAGCAGUAGAAGAAUGUCAACGACCACUUUGUUGACAUUUUUGCACUCUUUUCCUCUGGCUGUUGCUGUUGAAUAGCUGGAAAAUUAAUUGAUAAAAACUUUUCAUUGCAAAAAUAUUGCCAGAAAACGACCUCACCGGGUCAUUUUUGACAAGGUGAGAUCAUCAUCAUUGUUGCCUUCUUAAUGGGGUUGGGACCAUCAGUUGUGUUGUGCAGAAAUCAGGUUGGUCCACAGUUGACAGCUUUAUUGCACAACUAUUAGAAUCCAUAUUAUGGCAAGAACCAAUCAGCUAAGUAAAGAGAAACGACAAUCUAUCAUUACUUUAGGAACAUACAAGGACUUUGAACCUCCUCAGGACAGUAAGACCAAGAACCUCCUCUGCUGCUGAGGAGAAGUUCAUCUGAGUCUCCAGCCUCAGAAAUGACAAGCUAACAGCAGCUCAGAUUAGAGCCCAGAUAAAUACCACACAGAGUUCUAGCAGCAGACACAUCUCUACAUCACCUGUUCAGAGCAGACGGACCAAUCAGGCCUUUAUGGUCAAACAGCUGCUAAGAAUCCACUACUAAGGAAAAGCAACAAGCAGAAGAGAUCAGUUUGGACCCAGAAGCACCAGGAAUGGACAUUAGACCAGUGGAGAUCUGUGCUUUGGUCUGAUGAGUCCAAAUUUGAGAUCUUUGGUUCCACCUGCUGUGUCUUAAAGAGGCACCAAGGAAGAUUUUAGCGGAAAUGUAGCGUUGCCUACAUUUCCCGUCAGCCUCGGCGCGCACUGUCGCAAACCAGGAAAGCCGGCGGAGUUGAAAUCAUUGUUACCGAGCUAACGUUCGGUAGCUCCGAGCUAAUGUUACAUUAGCCAAUACCCACACAGUGUUUUUGCCACAAAGUUAGUCAACUAAACCAGUCACAGUCAAACUAAUCCCAUAGUCUACUAACCACACAUCGCAAGCAACACACACAAAAGAAUUGUAUCAAACUUACAAAGAGCUAAAGUUACGUACCUGUCUAGGAGAAGCACAGCCAGCUCGGCAUCUGUUUUGAUUCCUUUUUGCUCCCGGAAUUCUCUCCACCUCUGAAAUGCCUGACCAAGAUGAACUUUUCUUUUGCUUCGUUGUCGAUCUGACAACCUUUUUGCUUGCAGACUUUGCUCCGUUCUCUUCCUUUUGCGCUCCAUGUGUGCCGUCUUCUCAACCAACUCUCCGCUCUGCUACUGCUAAAAACAACUAGCUCCGCUCUGCUACGCUCAUCAGCGCACACGCACCGUAUUUGCUGUAAAUCGCUCCGUCUCUCACAGGAAAUUCUAGACGAGUCGACAAAAAAUUAAUAAAAUACAAAUAUUUACAAAACCAAAAUGAUUCAUGAAUCGAAAAUGGGGGCAUUAAUAAGUGUAAAUAACGAAGAUUCAUCCACAUUAAUAUGAGACUUUGUUAUGAGCAUAAAAAUCUUCCUCGGUGCCCCUUUAACCCUUUGAUGCACAAUAUGAGUCAACAGUGACCCAUAUUCAAUGGAAAAUGGGUUUCUCUUCACCCAUGUUGUGCAUCAAAAGGUUAAUGUGACCAGAAAUGGUGGACGGAUGAUCUUUACAUUUAUGGUUCCCACCAUGAAGCAUGGAGGAGGAGGUGUGAUAAACGAUACACAAAACAACAAAUAAAGUGAAACACAAAAUGACAAAAAUAAGACAAAAAACACAAACAAGACAAAAAGGAAACACAAAACAACAGCAAUAUGACAAAAGUCAGAAAAAAACAAGAAAUUACAACAAAAACAAGGAAACAUUACAAAAAUGAGACACAAAAUGACAAAAGUGAGAAACAAAAUGACAACAAAUUAGGCAAACGACACGAAACAAAACAAAAGAGACAAAAAGUUAGAUUAAAAAGUUAGAAAGCGACAGAAAAUUACACAAAUGACACAAACAGGACAAAAAUGAGAAAAUCAAGAAAAAAAUGACAAAAAACCUACAAACAACAAAAGCAAGACAGAAACAGCACAAAAUGACACAAACAGUAAACAACAUACAACGAGAAAAAACACAAAUGAAACCAAAAGGAAACACAAAAUGACAAAAAUGAGAAACAAAACGACAUAAACACGAGACUUACAACAAAAAUCUGACAAAAAAAUGACAAAAACAAAACAAAAUGUUACAAAAAUGAGAAACAAAAAGACAAAAAAUUAGGCAAACGACACGAAACAAAACAAAAAAGGGACAAAAAAAUGUGAUUAAAAAGUUACAAAGUGACAGAAAAUUACACAAAAGACACAAACAGGACCAAAAUGACAAAAACAAAAAACAAAAUGACAAAAAUAAAUAAAUAAUGAAAGGGAGACAAAAACAGCACAAAAUGACACAAACAGUAAAUAAAACACACAAUGAGAAAAAACAAAUGAGACCAAAAGGAAACACAAAAUGACAAAAAUGAGAAAUAAAAUGACAAAAGCACGAGACAAACAACAAAAAUCAGACAACAAAAUGACAACAAAACAACAAAAACAAGACAAAAUGUUACAAAAAUGAGACACAAAACAACAAAGGAACCAAAAACAAUCUAGUAUUUUACUUUAUGAUCUAAACAACUUGUCAUGGUCUGGAAAUUAUUUUAAAUUUAUAGUUUUACUAAUCUACAAUCUGCAGUUAAUGUCUUCUCUGUAAUUUUUACACUUUGAGGACCGGAUUGGACCCUCUGGAGGACCACUUCUGGACCACGGGCCUCAUGUUGGACACCCCUGGUUUAGUUGGACUAUCAUUUAUUUUCCAACAGAACAAUGGCCCCAAACACACCUCCAGGCCGUGGAAGGACGAUCUGACCAGGAAGGAGGUGAUGGAGUGCUGCGUCAGAUGACAAAAAAAACAACAGAAAUCUGCGUUCUAAACUUAGAGAAUCAUUCUGCUAUUUAUCGGCUGUUUAUCUAUUCAGUUACAGGAUGCAAGAAGUGCUGACGCCUUUGGAUUUAGCCGUUAUUGCAUAUCAUUACAUGAAUAAAAUAUGUGUACCAUUACAUGCAAAAGUUUGUUCAACCAUUCUCCAAUUUGGGUUUGUUGGAUCAGAGCGGGGAGGAGGUGAGUGGCAGCUUUUUGUCAACAUCUUGAGCAGUAAUAAGGUUCUGACCUGCGUUAAUUAUUAACAGAGAAAUUACUAAAAGUACUUUAGUAAUUUUUCAAUAGAGGAAGCUGCUGCCGGAUUCAAACUUUUGAACUUUUUUCUUUGUAGCUGUGGUGAAAGAAGUGCGAGAACAAUGACUUCCUCCUCUGCUGCUUCGGCCUCCAACCACCGAUUGUCAUUCGUCCACGUUCUCCCGGCUCUCGGGGCUCUGGAACAGCUUUUAUCUCGGUCCUGCGCAGCGUCAGGGGAAUGCAGAUGAGCCCACCUCAGCAGACCUCUGUGGACGCUUUGUUUGAUCGACCUGCCGAUGGUUCCUUGCGCUUUCAGACUUUUUAUCUUUGUUUUUAUAAAUGACCCUCAGAGCUGCAGAUCACAGGUGGUUAAAUCGAUGUUUGAGGCCUCGUUUCCAUCAUUUUCCAACGUCUUCCAUCAUUCAUCCCCGUUGCCUUUUCAGAUAUGCUGAAAGUGAAAUAUUACUCUUCUGAGUCAAUACAAUAAAAAACACUUAAAUAAUGAUGAAACAAUCAAGUAUUUGGGAAACAGAUAACUCUAGAUUCAACUUUAAGAGAACUGCAGUGAGUAAAGAAGCAAUGCUUAAAUCCAAAUGACAUGAAAUUAACACGUCAUUGCAUUUUUUCACACAUUUGUGGUCCAAACUUUCUGCAAAAUAAGAUUUCUGUGGAUCUUUGAGAUACAUUUAGACUUGUAGAAGUACAUCAGUAAAGCUAAAUAUUCAAAUAAAUCAGCUAAAAAUUACAUAUUUAUUACAGUAGGCAGUGCAAAGGUGCUGCUUUUACGAGCUUCAGUGUAAUAUCAUACAUAUACAAUAAUAAUUACUUAAAUAGUGAUGAAAUAAAAGUACUUGGAGAACAAAUGACACUAAAUUUAACUGAAAAGGAAAUGGAGUGAGUGAAGAGGCAACGCUUUAAUCAAAGUAACAUGUAAAUUAACGUGAUGUCCUCCACUUUGUGCAGUUUUUCCGACAUUAAUGGCAUUUUUUCCUGCUAAACAAGCUUUCUGUGCAUCUUUGAGAUAUUUUCAGACUUGUACAUCAGUAAAGUUAAAUGCGACAUCCACAGCCUAAAUAUUGAAUUAAAUCUGCUCAUACUGAAAGAAAUAUACAUUUUAUUCCAUAUUUCUGACUUUUCUACGUUAAAUCUAAUUAUUUUAUACCACGUUUGAAGCACAGUGCACCAAGGAAUGAGUCAAUAUAAUGAAAAUGACUUAAAUAAGGAUGAAAUAAUGAAGUAUUUGUGCAACAAAUGACACUUAAUUCAAUAAAAGGAGAAUUGCAGUGAGUAAAGAGGCAAUGCUUAAAUCAAAAUCACAUGACAUCUUCCACUUUGUGCAUUUUUUCAGAGAUUUAUGGCAUAAACGUUUGAGGCCAUCCUUUUCCAUCAUUUCCGUCUUUCAUCCACGUUGCCUUUUCAGAUUUAGACAGAUUUGUCGAAGCAGAAACAUUACUCAUCUGGUUUUUAAUGUGUCAUCUUUGAAUCUCAAAUUAAACUUUUUGCUGCAGAAAUUCA
Molecule: long non-coding RNA, 8357 nt
Organism: Acanthochromis polyacanthus (spiny chromis)
Lineage: Eukaryota; Metazoa; Chordata; Actinopteri; Pomacentridae
Exons: 2
Source: RefSeq, a predicted model, not a curated record